RNAcentral lists this ribosomal RNA (253 nucleotides) under uncultured bacterium. RNAcentral's name for it is "partial 16S ribosomal RNA". It matches the Rfam family "Bacterial small subunit ribosomal RNA", at positions 524 to 776 of the family's 1533-position model. The record is from RNAcentral.
UACGGAGGGGACUAGCGUUGUUCGGAAUUACUGGGCGUAAAGCGCACGUAGGCGGAUUUGCAAGUCAGGGGGGAAAUCCCGGGGCUCAACCUCGGAACUGCCUUUGAUACUGCAAAUCUCGAGUCCGGAAGAGGUGAGUGGGAUUCCUAGUGUAGAGGUGAAAUUCGUAGAUAUUAGGAAGAACACCAGUGGCGAAGGCGGCUCACUGGUCCGGUACUGACGCUGAGGUGCGAAAGCGUGGGGAGCAAACAGG